This 498-nucleotide ribosomal RNA is filed under the name uncultured bacterium. Its description in RNAcentral is "bacterial SSU rRNA". It matches the Rfam family "Bacterial small subunit ribosomal RNA", at positions 24 to 518 of the family's 1533-position model. The record is from RNAcentral.
UCAGGAUGAACGCUGGCGGCGUGCCUAACACAUGCAAGUCGAACGGGGUUAAGGGAAAUUUCGGAUGGAACUUAACUAGUGGCGGACGGGUGAGUAACGCGUGGAUAACCUGCCUCACACAGGGGGAUAGCAGCUGGAAACGGCUGGUAAUACCGCAUAAGACCACGGUGCCGCAUGGCACAGGGGUAAAAGAUUUAUCGGUGUGAGAUGGAUCCGCGUCUGAUUAGCCAGUUGGCGGGGUAACGGCCCACCAAAGCGACGAUCAGUAGCCGGCCUGAGAGGGUGAACGGCCACAUUGGGACUGAGACACGGCCCAAACUCCUACGGGAGGCAGCAGUGGGGAAUAUUGCACAAUGGGCGCAAGCCUGAUGCAGCAACGCCCGCGUGAGUGAAGAAGUAUUUCGGUAUGUAAAGCUCUAUCAGCAGGGAAGAAAGGCCCUUCGGGGAGAUGACGGUACCUGACUAAGAAGCCCCGGCUAACUACGUGCCAGCCGCCGC